Molecule: ribosomal RNA, 497 nt
Filed under: uncultured bacterium
Lineage: Bacteria
Description: partial 16S ribosomal RNA
Rfam family: Bacterial small subunit ribosomal RNA
Source: RNAcentral
GAUGAACGCUGGCGGCGUGCCUAAUACAUGCAAGUCGAGCGAACAGACGAGGAGCUUGCUCCUCUGACGUUAGCGGCGGACGGGUGAGUAACACGUGGAUAACCUACCUAUAAGACUGGGAUAAAUUCGGGAAACCGGAGCUAAUACCGGAUAAUAUAUUGAACCGCAUGGUUCAAUAGUGAAAGACGGUUUUGCUGUCACUUAUAGAUGGAUCCGCGCCGCAUUAGCUAGUUGGUAAGGUAACAGCUUACCAAGGCAACGAUGCGUAGCCGACCUGAGAGGGUGAUCGGCCACACUGGAACUGAGACACGGUCCAGACUCCUACGGGAGGCAGCAGUAGGGAAUCUUCCGCAAUGGGCGAAAGCCUGACGGAGCAACGCCGCGUGAGUGAUGAAGGUCUUCGGAUCGUAAAACUCUGUUAUUAGGGAAGAACAAAUGUGCAAGUAACUAUGCACGUCUUGACGGUACCUAAUCAGAAAGCCACGGCUAACUACGUG